UUUGAUGGCGACCGGCGCACGGGUGAGUAACACGUAUCCAACCUGCCGAUGACUCGGGGAUAGCCUUUCGAAAGAAAGAUUAAUACCCGAUGGCAUAGUUCUCCGCAUGGUGGAACUAUUAAAGAAUUUCGGUCAUCGAUGGGGAUGCGUUCCAUUAGGUUGUUGGCGGGGUAACGGCCCACCAAGCCUUCGAUGGAUAGGGGUUCUGAGAGGAAGGUCCCCCACAUUGGAACUGAGACACGGUCCAAACUCCUACGGGAGGCAGCAUG
This 269-nucleotide ribosomal RNA is filed under the name uncultured bacterium. Its description in RNAcentral is "partial 16S ribosomal RNA". It matches the Rfam family "Bacterial small subunit ribosomal RNA", at positions 84 to 353 of the family's 1533-position model. The record is from RNAcentral.